GAUGAACGCUGGCGGCGUGCUUAACACAUGCAAGUCGAACGGAAAGGCUCCUGCUUGCAGGGGUACUCGAGUGGCGAACGGGUGAGUAACACGUGGGUGAUCUGCCCUGCACUUCGGGAUAAGCCUGGGAAACUGGGUCUAAUACCGGAUAGGACGAUGGUUUGGAUGCCAUUGUGGAAAGUUUUUCGGUGUGGGAUGAGCUCGGGGCCUAUCAGCUUGUUGGUGGGGUAAUGGCCUACCAAGGCGUCGACGGGUAGCCGGCCUGAGAGGGUGUACGGCCACAUGGGGACUGAGAUACGGCCCAGACUCCUACGGGAGGCAGCAGUGGGGAAUAUUGCACAAUGGGGGCAAGCCUGAUGCAGCGACGCCGCGUGGGGGAUGACGGCCUUCGGGUUGUAAACUCCUUUCGCUAGGGACGAAGCGCAAGUGACGGUACCUGGAGAAGAAGCACCGGCUAACUACGUG
RNAcentral lists this ribosomal RNA (465 nucleotides) under uncultured bacterium. Its description in RNAcentral is "partial 16S ribosomal RNA". It matches the Rfam family "Bacterial small subunit ribosomal RNA", at positions 28 to 507 of the family's 1533-position model. The record is from RNAcentral.